CACGUAGGGACCAAGCGUUGUCCGGAUUCAUUGGGCGUAAAGAGCUCGUAGGCGGUUCGAUAAGUCGGGUGUGAAACCUCCAGGCUCAACCUGGAGACGCCACCCGAUACUGUCGUGACUAGAGUCCAGUAGGGGAGCGUGGAAUUCCUGGUGUAGCGGUGAAAUGCGCAGAUAUCGUAAGGAAGACCAGUGGCGAAGGCGGGUCUCUGGACAGUUCCUGACGCUGAGGCACGAAGGUCAGGGGAGCAAACGGG
Molecule: ribosomal RNA, 254 nt
Filed under: uncultured bacterium
Lineage: Bacteria
Description: partial 16S ribosomal RNA
Rfam family: Bacterial small subunit ribosomal RNA
Source: RNAcentral